AUUGAACGCUGGCGGCGUGCUUAACACAUGCAAGUCGAUCGGUAACAGGUGUAGCAAUACAUGCUGACGAGAGGCGGACGGGUGAGUAAUGCUUGGGAAUCUGCCUAUUAGUGGGGGACAACCCGGGGAAACUCGGGCUAAUACCGCAUACGCUCUACGGAGGAAAGCCGGGGACCGCAAGGCCUGGCGCUAAUAGAUGAGCCCAAGUCGGAUUAGCUAGUUGGUAGGGUAACGGCCUACCAAGGCGACAAUCCGUAGCUGGUCUGAGAGGACGACCAGCCACACCGGAACUGAGACACGGUCCGGACUCCUACGGGAGGCAGCAGUGGGGAAUAUUGGACAAUGGGGGCAACCCUGAUCCAGCGACGCCGCGUGGGUGAAGAAGGCCUGCGGGUUGUAAAGCCCUUUCGGUGGGGAAGAAAAGUCUCGACCUAAUACGUCGGGACCUUGACGUAACCCACUAAAGAAGCACCGGCUAACUCUGUGCC
RNAcentral lists this ribosomal RNA (488 nucleotides) under uncultured bacterium. RNAcentral's name for it is "bacterial SSU rRNA". It matches the Rfam family "Bacterial small subunit ribosomal RNA", at positions 29 to 509 of the family's 1533-position model. The record is from RNAcentral.